Molecule: transfer RNA, 85 nt
Filed under: Micromonospora sp. NBRC 107095
Lineage: Bacteria; Bacillati; Actinomycetota; Actinomycetes; Micromonosporales; Micromonosporaceae
Description: tRNA-Asp
Source: RNAcentral
UGGCCUCCACGGUCGGCGUGUCCGGGUUCGUCGCACCCGACGGGCGGGUAAGCGAUGCCACCGGGUUCAACACCCGGGAGGUCGU